This 301-nucleotide ribosomal RNA is filed under the name uncultured bacterium. RNAcentral's name for it is "partial 16S ribosomal RNA". It matches the Rfam family "Bacterial small subunit ribosomal RNA", at positions 509 to 809 of the family's 1533-position model. The record is from RNAcentral.
CAGCAGCCGCGGUAAAACGAAGGGGGCUAGCGUUGUUCGGAAUUACUGGGCGUAAAGCGCACGUAGGCGGAUACUUAAGUCAGGGGUGAAAUCCCGGGGCUCAACCCCGGAACUGCCUUUGAUACUGGGUAUCUCGAGUCCGGAAGAGGUGAGUGGAAUUCCGAGUGUAGAAGUGAAAUUCGUAGAUAUUCGGAGGAACACCAGUGGCGAAGGCGGCUCACUGGUCCGGUACUGACGCUGAGGUGCGAAAGCGUGGGGAGCAAACAGGAUUAGAUACCCCAGUAGUCCCUGUCUCUUAUAA